RNAcentral lists this ribosomal RNA (451 nucleotides) under uncultured bacterium. Its description in RNAcentral is "bacterial SSU rRNA". It matches the Rfam family "Bacterial small subunit ribosomal RNA", at positions 29 to 524 of the family's 1533-position model. The record is from RNAcentral.
AACGAACGCUGGCGGCAUGCCUAACACAUGCAAGUCGAACGAGACCUUCGGGUCUAGUGGCGCACGGGUGCGUAACGCGUGGGAAUCUGCCCUUGGGUUCGGAAUAACAGUUGGAAACGACUGCUAAUACCGGAUGAUGACGUAAGUCCAAAGAUUUAUCGCCCAAGGAUGAGCCCGCGUAGGAUUAGCUAGUUGGUGAGGUAAAGGCCCACCAAGGCGACGAUCCUUAGCUGGUCUGAGAGGAUGAUCAGCCACACUGGGACUGAGACACGGCCCAGACUCCUACGGGAGGCAGCAGUGGGGGAAUAUUGGACAAUGGGCGAAAGCCUGAUCCAGCAAUGCCGCGUGAGUGAUGAAGGCCUUAGGGUUGUAAAGCUCUUUUACCCGGGAUGAUAAUGACAGUACCGGGAGAAUAAGCUCCGGCUAACUCCGUGCCAGCAGCCGCGGUAAU